RNAcentral lists this ribosomal RNA (433 nucleotides) under uncultured bacterium. Its description in RNAcentral is "partial 16S ribosomal RNA". It matches the Rfam family "Bacterial small subunit ribosomal RNA", at positions 29 to 507 of the family's 1533-position model. The record is from RNAcentral.
AACGAACGCUGGCGGCAUGCCUAACACAUGCAAGUCGAACGAGACCUUCGGGUCUAGUGGCGCACGGGUGCGUAACGCGAGGGAACCUGCCCUUAGGUUCGGAAUAACUCCCCGAAAGGGGUGCUAAUACCGGACAAUGUCUUCGGCCCAAAGAUUCAUCGCCUUUGGAUGGGCCCGCGUUGGAUUAGCUAGUUGGUAGGGUAAAAGCCUACCAAGGCGACGUUCCAUAGCUGGUCUGAGAGGAUGAUCAGCCACACUGGGACUGAGACACGGCCCAGACUCCGACGGGAGGCAGCAGUGGGGAAUAUUGGGCGAGGGGCGAAGGCCUGAUCCAGCAAUGCCGCGGGAGUGAUGAUGGCCGUAGGGUUGUAAAGCUCUUUUACCCGGGAUGAUAAUGAUAGUACCGGGAGAAUAAGCUCCGGCUAACUCCGUG